GGUUAAGCGACUAAGCGUACACGGUGGAUGCCCUGGCAGUCAGAGGCGAUGAAGGACGUGCUAAUCUGCGAUAAGCGCCGGUAAGGUGAUAUGAACCGUUAUAACCGGCGAUUUCCGAAUGGGGAAACCCAGUGUGAUUCGUCACACUAUCAUUAACUGAAUCCAUAGGUUAAUGAGGCGAACCGGGGGAACUGAAACAUCUAAGUACCCCGAGGAAAAGAAAUCAACCGAGAUUCCCCCAGUAGCGGCGAGCGAACGGGGAGGAGCCCAGAGCCUGAAUCAGCAUGUGUGUUAGUGGAAGCGUCUGGAAAGGCGCGCGAUACAGGGUGACAGCCCCGUACACAAAAGCGCAUGUGCUGUGAGCUCGAUGAGUAGGGCGGGACACGUGGUAUCCUGUCUGAAUAUGGGGGGACCAUCCUCCAAGGCUAAAUACUCCUGACUGACCGAUAGUGAACCAGUACCGUGAGGGAAAGGCGAAAAGAACCCCGGCGAGGGGAGUGAAAAAGAACCUGAAACCGUGUACGUACAAGCAGUGGGAGCACAGGUUUACCUGUGUGACUGCGUACCUUUUGUAUAAUGGGUCAGCGACUUAUAUUCUGUAGCAAGGUUAACCGUAUAGGGGAGCCGUAGGGAAACCGAGUCUUAACCGGGCGUUAAGUUGCAGGGUAUAGACCCGAAACCCGGUGAUCUAGCCAUGGGCAGGUUGAAGGUUGGGUAACACUAACUGGAGGACCGAACCGACUAAUGUUGAAAAAUUAGCGGAUGACCUGUGGCUGGGGGUGAAAGGCCAAUCAAACCGGGAGAUAGCUGGUUCUCCCCGAAAGCUAUUUAGGUAGCGCCUCGUGAAUUCAUCUCCGGGGGUAGAGCACUGUUUCGGCUAGGGGGCCAUCCCGGCUUACCAACCCGAUGCAAACUGCGAAUACCGGAGAAUGUUAUCACGGGAGACACACGGCGGGUGCUAACGUCCGUCGUGAAGAGGGAAACAACCCAGACCGCCAGCUAAGGUCCCAAAGUCAUGGUUAAGUGGGAAACGAUGUGGGAAGGCCCAGACAGCCAGGAUGUUGGCUUAGAAGCAGCCAUCAUUUAAAGAAAGCGUAAUAGCUCACUGGUCGAGUCGGCCUGCGCGGAAGAUGUAACGGGGCUAAACCAU
RNAcentral lists this ribosomal RNA (1150 nucleotides) under Salmonella enterica. RNAcentral's name for it is "partial 23S ribosomal RNA". It matches the Rfam family "Bacterial large subunit ribosomal RNA", at positions 1 to 1190 of the family's 2925-position model. Lineage: Bacteria; Pseudomonadati; Pseudomonadota; Gammaproteobacteria; Enterobacterales; Enterobacteriaceae. The record is from RNAcentral.